GCCCGCAUAGCUCAGUUGGUUAGAGCAUGGUGUUGAUAACGCCAAGGUUGCAAGUUUGAUCCCCGUAUGGGACA
This is a non-coding RNA of Podarcis lilfordi (Lilford's wall lizard), 74 nucleotides long. The record is from the annotation of a GenBank genome assembly. NCBI's taxonomy places the organism in Eukaryota, Metazoa, Chordata, Lepidosauria, Squamata, Lacertidae.